GACGAACGCUGGCGGCGUGCCUAAUACAUGCAAGUCGAGCGAAUGGAAGGGAGCUUGCUCCCUGAAGUUAGCGGCGGACGGGUGAGUAACACGUGGGCAACCUGCCUGUAAGACUGGGAUAACUUCGGGAAACCGGAGCUAAUACCGGAUACGUUCUUUCCUCGCAUGAGGAAAGAUGAAAAGAUGGUUUCGGCUAUCACUUACAGAUGGGCCCGCGGCGCAUUAGCUAGUUGGUGGGGUAACGGCCCACCAAGGCGACGAUGCGUAGCCGACCUGAGAGGGUGAUCGGCCACACUGGGACUGAGACACGGCCCAGACUCCUACGGGAGGCAGCAGUAGGGAAUCUUCCGCAAUGGACGAAAGUCUGACGGAGCAACGCCGCGUGAGCGAAGAAGGCCUUCGGGUCGUAAAGCUCUGUUGUCAGGGAAGAACAAGUGCCAGAGUAACUGCUGGCACCUUGACGGUACCUGACCAGAAAGCCACGGCUAACUCCGUGCCAGCCGCCGCGGUAA
Molecule: ribosomal RNA, 512 nt
Filed under: uncultured bacterium
Lineage: Bacteria
Description: partial 16S ribosomal RNA
Rfam family: Bacterial small subunit ribosomal RNA
Source: RNAcentral